CCGACACACGUGCUACAAUGGCGUAAACAAAGGGAAGCGAAACCGCGAGGUCAAGCAAAUCCCAAAAAUAACGUCCCAGUUCGGACUGUAGUCUGCAACCCGACUACACGAAGCCGGAAUCGCUAGUAAUCGCGAAUCAGAAUGUCGCGGUGAAUACGUUCCCGGGUCUUGUACACACCGCCCGUCAAGCCAUGGAAGCCGGGAGUGCCUGAAGUAUGCAACCGCAAGGAGCGUCCUAAGGUAAAACCGGUGACUGGGGCUAAGUCGUAACAAGGUACC
RNAcentral lists this ribosomal RNA (279 nucleotides) under uncultured bacterium. RNAcentral describes it as "partial 16S ribosomal RNA". It matches the Rfam family "Bacterial small subunit ribosomal RNA", at positions 1213 to 1500 of the family's 1533-position model. The record is from RNAcentral.